GAUGAACGCUGGCUACAGGCUUAACACAUGCAAGUCGAGGGGAAACGACGGGGAAGCUUGCUUCCCCGGGCGUCGACCGGCGCACGGGUGAGUAACGCGUAUCCAACCUGCCUCUGACUGAGGGAUAACCCGUCGAAAGUCGGCCUAAUACCUCAUGGCAUCGUCUGCGGGCAUCCAACGACGAUUAAAGAUUUCAUCGGCCAGGGAUGGGGAUGCGUCUGAUUAGCUUGUUGGCGGGGUAACGGCCCACCAAGGCUACGAUCAGUAGGGGUUCUGAGAGGAAGGUCCCCCACAUUGGAACUGAGACACGGUCCAAACUCCUACGGGAGGCAGCAGUGAGGAAUAUUGGUCAAUGGGCGGGAGCCUGAACCAGCCAAGUAGCGUGCAGGAUGACGGCCCUAUGGGUUGUAAACUGCUUUUAUGCGGGGAUAAAGUGAGGGACGUGUCCUUCAUUGCAGGUACCGCAUGAAUAAGGACCGGCUAAUUCCGUG
This 491-nucleotide ribosomal RNA is filed under the name uncultured bacterium. RNAcentral's name for it is "partial 16S ribosomal RNA". It matches the Rfam family "Bacterial small subunit ribosomal RNA", at positions 28 to 507 of the family's 1533-position model. The record is from RNAcentral.